UGAGUUUAGCCUCACGGGUACGCA
Molecule: non-coding RNA, 24 nt
Filed under: Rattus norvegicus (Norway rat)
Lineage: Eukaryota; Metazoa; Chordata; Mammalia; Rodentia; Muridae
Source: RNAcentral